UACGGAGGUGACAAACGUUGUCCGGAAUUAUUGGGCGUAAAGGGCGCGUAGGUGGUUGAGUAAGUCAGGUGUGAAAGCUCUGGGCUUAACCCAGGAAUUGCAUCUGAUACUGCUCGGCUUGAGUACGGUAGAGGAGGGUGGAAUUCCCAGUGUAGCGGUGAAAUGCGUAGAUAUUGGGAGGAACACCGGUGGCGAAGGCGGCCCUCUGGACCGAAACUGACACUGAAGCGCGAAAGCUAGGGGAGCAAACGGG
RNAcentral lists this ribosomal RNA (253 nucleotides) under uncultured bacterium. RNAcentral's name for it is "partial 16S ribosomal RNA". It matches the Rfam family "Bacterial small subunit ribosomal RNA", at positions 524 to 776 of the family's 1533-position model. The record is from RNAcentral.